Molecule: ribosomal RNA, 465 nt
Filed under: uncultured bacterium
Lineage: Bacteria
Description: partial 16S ribosomal RNA
Rfam family: Bacterial small subunit ribosomal RNA
Source: RNAcentral
CCUACGGGAGGCAGCAGUAGGGAAUCUUCCACAAUGGGCGAAAGCCUGAUGGAGCAACGCCGCGUGGGUGAAGAAGGUCUUCGGAUCGUAAAACCCUGUUGUUAGAGAAGAAAGUGCGUGAGAGUAACUGUUCACGUUUCGACGGUAUCUAACCAGAAAGCCACGGCUAACUACGUGCCAGCAGCCGCGGUAAUACGUAGGUGGCAAGCGUUAUCCGGAUUUAUGGGGCGUAAAGGGAACGCAGGCGGUCUUUUAAGUCUGAUGUGAAAGCCUUCGGCUUAACCGGAGUAGUGCAUUGGAAACUGGGAGACUUGAGUGCAGAAGAGGAGAGUGGAAUGCCAUGUGUAGCGGUGAAAUGCGUAGAUAUAUGGAAGAACACCAGUGGCGAAAGCGGCUCUCUGGUCUGUAACUGACGCUGAGGUUCGAAAGCGUGGGUAGCAAACAGGAUUAGAUACCCCAGUAGUC